Molecule: long non-coding RNA, 486 nt
Organism: Mauremys reevesii (Reeves's turtle)
Lineage: Eukaryota; Metazoa; Chordata; Testudines; Geoemydidae
Exons: 3
Source: RefSeq, a predicted model, not a curated record
GUCAGAUGACAGAUUGUUGCAACCAGUGUUUUAGCUUGCACCUGUAUUUAAUUAGUCUGGAUACCAUGAAGCUGUGCAGAGGAGCUGGUUGUUCCGAAGAAAACAGCUUUGGAAAGUCACUGUGAAAUCUGUAUGAUAAGCUACUCUGAGGCCCUGCCAGAACCGAGGGACUAGGAACCUGAGGGAGUGGAUGCUCAACCUAUGUGGGAGAAAGAAAAGAAUAAAGGAUGAAAUGCAGCAGGACAUUCUGUGUUCAGUCCCCAUCACAUUACCAGUUCAUGGAACAGUGAAAUGUACCCAGAACUACAGUCUGCUCCUGUGCAACCAAGUCCCAUAUGUGCAAAAUGCUCCAGAAAGGACAGGAAUCAUUUCUGUGAUGAGAAACCUGAGCCCUUGGAGAAAUGCAAAACUGCCAGAAGAGACUCAUCGAUUCACAACAGCUCUCCAAGCAACUGGAAGUGAUGCAGCAACACUGUCGAGAGAGAC